AAGCAUAAAAACCGAAAGAGCCAAGUCCGCAGCGCAAAGUCAUAGCGGUUGGGCGUUGAGAAAGACGGACCCGCCUCUCUUGGGGGUAUAAAGCGCCUCCUUCUUCAAGAAUAUGCUCUUCUCCUUCUUCUCUCUCAUUUCUUCCUUUUUCAUCUCUUCUUCUUUCCCCUUCUUUCUUAAAGUAUAACUGGAUUGAUACUCAUAUAACAAAUCAAGCUCUAAAGCCUUUGAGCUUUUCACGUUUAAGGUUGAGUUAUUCGAGAUAACCGCUUUGCUAGUUAACGUAACAAAACAUGUCUUGAGGCCAAUACAUAAGGUUUUGAAUGAUGACGAGAAGGAAUCACUUCUCAAGAAGUACAGUCUCGAGGAAAAACAACUUCCUCGGUUAUCGAGCAGAGACCCGAUUGUGGGAUACUAUGGACUAGAGACAGGACAAGUCAUGAAGAUCACAUACAAAGACGAGCUCAGUGAUUUGCAAGUUACAUACCGGUGCGUCGGGUAAUCUCGUUCUCGUCUUGUUUAUUUCUUUAGCUCUCUUUGUGUGUAGAAAUUAAUUUGUAUCGCGUUUUGAUGUCAAAAUCUGUACUUUUUCUGUUUUUUUUUAAAACUGUAAACUUUGUGUUUCCUUUUUGAUAUUAACAUAAACCAAACAAGUUUGAUAAUUAAUUAAUGUUAUGGUUCAUAUAGAUUAAUUUAUUCCCAACUCUGCAUAAGACUUAUCUUACAAUUUAUACUUUACAAGAACAUAUGUAAGCAAUGGUCAACUAUGGACUUUCGUCGAGUCUGGCUGGUCCUCCCAUGGAGGCUUGACGGCGAAGUCUUUUCUCCUUCAGUGUGGCUUCCUUUCUCUUAAGCUCUUGCUCAUCCGCGGAGAAGGUGCUAGUGUUGUCCAUCGUACUGCUGGUUGUAUUUGGUGGUUCGCGUGCACAGCACAAAAUUGAGCCCAUGUGGAUCAAACUAAAAUCUUUGAUUAAAAAGAUUAAUCAAAUAGGAAAAAAAAAAAAAUUGUGCCGAAAAUAUAAAAUUCAAGAACAAAUGAGAGA
Molecule: long non-coding RNA, 1043 nt
Organism: Camelina sativa (false flax)
Lineage: Eukaryota; Viridiplantae; Streptophyta; Magnoliopsida; Brassicales; Brassicaceae
Source: RefSeq, a predicted model, not a curated record